CCCAAUACUCCUACAUACAUGCAUAUAGCCCACUAGGCCCAAUCUUAUUCAAAUGGCCCAUCUGGCUCAGUUCAUAUUCUUAUGGCCCACUAGGCCAAAUUCACCUUCAUGUGGCCCAUUAGGCCCAAAUCAUAUUAUACUCAUGCUCACAUACAAAUUAUCUAACACAUAGCAUCACUUUUCAAUCUUUGCCUUUAUGGGCCCAAUAGCCCAUCAGGCCCAUUUAGC
Molecule: long non-coding RNA, 228 nt
Filed under: Gossypium barbadense (sea-island cotton)
Lineage: Eukaryota; Viridiplantae; Streptophyta; Magnoliopsida; Malvales; Malvaceae
Description: long non-coding RNA (GBAR_LNC012701)
Source: RNAcentral